CCAGGUUCUUCUCAGAAAUUGUGUAAGCGAGUGUUGCAAGCGCUAGCAUGGUGCCUAGCAAUGAAUGCUUUGUUUUGACUAGGGGACUGUCUGUGUAAACAAAGCCAGAGAAAACAGCCUAAAGGAAGUGUAGUGUGACCUCACACUUGAUGUGAAUAUACACGUACAUACUGACAUCAACCCAAGACACACUGCGGCGAGGGAAAGCACUCCUGGUUACUAAUUCAGGGCACCGAUACCGUGCUGAUCUUACUAUGACUCUUUUCUCAUGAGAACCUGUGGAUCUGAAGGUGUAGCCAAAUUUGACAGAUAAUGCUAUUCUUGAAGAUAUGAGUUUGCCAAUAUCCUUUGCUGAUUCCCUAGAUAUGUAUUAUUUCAGGAUUGUACUGUUUGCACUCCCCUCGAUGGACAAACUUCCUGUGUGAGUGACUGGUGACCGGUCCAUAGACUCACUAUGAAAAAUCAUGGCUGAAAGUUUUCUUUGAGAUCCUGUUAUGCUUCUCUAAAGAUUUUUUUUUUUACCCUGUUUCCUCAGACGUUUCCUCUCCGAUUGCCAAAUACUGCAGUAACCGCUAGAAUGGAAUAGUUUUGCACUUCUGUAAUGGAAAAAAAAAGUGAGCAGUGGUGCAGCUGUUACAGAAGUGGUUACAUUCGCUCCACCGCUGAGCAACAUAGUGGAAGCAUGUCAGGUAAUUUCCACACCAGAUCAUUUUCAGAGCAGAAGGAAGGAAUUUGGCCAUGCCUGCAAAAGCAUCUGCAGAAAGUGGCCCUUUCAAACUCCACUGACAUUCAUACUUCCCUCUCAAAAUUCACACACCUGUUCAAAUAGCCAGCCUCAGUGGCCAUAAAGAGGAAUUGUUCACCGCCAUACACUUGCAAUGUCAUGUGCAGUAUUUCAGAAUACCCUAGAGAGAACUUAUUUUAGACUCAACAUAAACAAGAUUGUAAUGACUUGUUUGAAGUCUGACCAUCUGGCCAUACGCUGAGGCUGGUUUCAUGUCGUGAAAAAAAUGUCUGAUUUUCUGCCUGGCUAUUAAAU
Molecule: long non-coding RNA, 1039 nt
Filed under: Sinocyclocheilus grahami
Lineage: Eukaryota; Metazoa; Chordata; Actinopteri; Cypriniformes; Cyprinidae
Description: lncRNA (ENSSGRG00000035907.1)
Source: RNAcentral